CCCGCUGAACUUAAGCAUAUCAAUAAGCGGAGGAAAAGAAACUAACAAGGAUUCCCCCAGUAACGGCGAGUGAAGAGGGAAGAGCUCAAAUUUGUAAUCUGGCAGUUUUCGACUGUCCGAGUUGUAAAUUAGAGAAGUGUCAUCUGCGUCAGCCUGUGCAAAAGUCUCUUGGAAAAGAGCAUCAUAGAGGGUGACAAUCCCGUCUUUGGCAUGGACCCUGAUGCUGUUGUGAUGCACUCUCGAUGAGUCGAGUUGUUUGGGAAUGCAGCUCUAAAUGGGUGGUAAAUUCCAUCUAAAGCUAAAUAUUGGCGAGAGACCGAUAGCGAACAAGUACCGUGAGGGAAAGAUGAAAAGAACUUUGAAAAGAGAGUUAAACAGUAUGUGAAAUUGUUGAAAGGGAAACGCUUGAAGUCAGUGUUGUCUCUCGGAAAUCGACGCGGCUUUUGGCCCUGCACAUUUUCUGAGUGGACAGGUCAGCAUCAUUUUUGAUCAUUGGAUAAAGGCCUUGGGAAAGUGACAUCCCUUGGAUGUGUUAUAGCCCAUGGUUCAUAUGCAAUGGUUGGGAUUGAGGAACUCAGUGUGACACCUCGGUGUUUGGAGGCUCUAGGGCUUCACAUCCACGCACUUGGGAUGCUGGCAAAAUGGCUUCAAUCGACCCGUCUUGAAACACGG
This 672-nucleotide ribosomal RNA is filed under the name uncultured fungus. RNAcentral describes it as "eukaryotic LSU rRNA". It matches the Rfam family "Eukaryotic large subunit ribosomal RNA", at positions 24 to 664 of the family's 3401-position model. The record is from RNAcentral. Lineage: Eukaryota; Fungi.